AGGCGACGAUCCCUAGCUGGUCUGAGAGGAUGACCAGCCACACUGGAACUGAGACACGGUCCAGACUCCUACGGGAGGCAGCAGUGGGGAAUAUUGCACAAUGGGCGCAAGCCUGAUGCAGCCAUGCCGCGUGUAUGAAGAAGGCCUUCGGGUUGUAAAGUACUUUCAGCGGGGAGGAAGGGAGUAAAGUUAAUACCUUUGCUCAUUGACGUUACCCGCAGAAGAAGCACCGGCUAACUCCGUGCCAGCAGCCGCGGUAAUACGGAGGGUGCAAGCGUUAAUCGGAAUUACUGGGCGUAAAGCGCACGCAGGCGGUUUGUUAAGUCAGAUGUGAAAUCCCCGGGCUCAACCUGGGAACUGCAUCUGAUACUGGCAAGCUUGAGUCUCGUAGAGGGGGGUAGAAUUCCAGGUGUAGCGGUGAAAUGCGUAGAGAUCUGGAGGAAUACCGGUGGCGAAGGCGGCCCCCUGGACGAAGACUGACGCUCAGGUGCGAAA
RNAcentral lists this ribosomal RNA (495 nucleotides) under Escherichia coli. RNAcentral's name for it is "bacterial SSU rRNA". It matches the Rfam family "Bacterial small subunit ribosomal RNA", at positions 271 to 758 of the family's 1533-position model. The record is from RNAcentral. Lineage: Bacteria; Pseudomonadati; Pseudomonadota; Gammaproteobacteria; Enterobacterales; Enterobacteriaceae.